Molecule: transfer RNA, 83 nt
Filed under: Candidatus Beckwithbacteria bacterium GW2011_GWC1_49_16
Lineage: Bacteria; Candidatus Beckwithiibacteriota
Description: tRNA-Ser
Rfam family: tRNA
About the family: Transfer RNA (tRNA) molecules are approximately 80 nucleotides in length.
Source: RNAcentral
GGAGGGGUGUGCCGAAUGGUAAGGCACCGCUCUCGAAAAGCGGCGCCCGCAAGGGCUUGCAGGUUCGACUCCUGUCCCCUCCG